GGAGGAUCAUUAAUGAUUAACUGUCUGUCGAGCUUGCUCACAGACUUAUCAUAUCCAUAACACCUGUGCACUUGUCGGAUGGCUUAGUGAAGACCGCAAGGUUGGAACUAUCCAUCUACUUUACAUAACAAUUUAGUAACAAAUGUAGUCUUAUUAUAACAUAAUAAAACUUUCAACAACGGAUCUCUUGGCUCUCGCAUCGAUGAAGAACGCAGCGAAAUGCGAUAAGUAAUGUGAAUUGCAGAAUUCAGUGAAUCAUCGAAUCUUUGAACGCACCUUGCGCUCCCUGGUAUUCCGGGGAGCAUGCCUGUUUGAGUGUCAUGAAUACUUCAACCCUCCUCUUUCUUAAUGAUUGAAGAGGUGUUUGGUUUCUGAGCGCUGCUGGCCUUUACGGUCUAGCUCGUUCGUAAUGCAUUAGCAUCCGCAAUCGAACUUCGGAUUGACUUGGCGUAAUAGACUAUUCGCUGAGGAAUUCUAGUCUUCGGACUAGAGCCGGGUUGGGUUAAAGGAAGCUUCUAAUCAGAAUGUCUACAUUUUAAGAUUAGAUCUCAAAUCAGGUAGGACUACCCGCUGAACUUAAGCAUAUCAAUAAGCGGAGGAA
RNAcentral lists this ribosomal RNA (601 nucleotides) under uncultured Basidiomycota. RNAcentral's name for it is "eukaryotic LSU rRNA". The stretch from base 168 to 321 matches the Rfam family "5.8S ribosomal RNA". The record is from RNAcentral. Lineage: Eukaryota; Fungi; Basidiomycota.